RNAcentral lists this long non-coding RNA (476 nucleotides) under Prunus persica (peach). RNAcentral describes it as "long non-coding RNA (PPER_LNC003300)". The record is from RNAcentral. Lineage: Eukaryota; Viridiplantae; Streptophyta; Magnoliopsida; Rosales; Rosaceae.
AAAAAUAAAACUAAAUUAGAGAAUUAAUUAUUCAAAACUUGAAUCACAUAAUCUAUUCAUUAAGUAGAUCUCAUGAAAUCUAACCUUGGUUGAUGGACCCUUGUUCACCACAACCAAGAUUUUCACCGGCACCGAAACUGUCACAAUGAUAGUGCGUCUUCCCACUAGUUAAGCUACCAUCAACCCUUCUUCCUCUUUAAAUAUUUUUUCGUUUAAAUGGUAACUUUUUUUUUUUUUUCCUUUUAUAUUUCUUUUCCUUCUUUAUUAUUCAUCAUCCUAAUUGGCUCAUCACAAUUCAUAUCUGGCACAUAUAAAUUGUCCUUAUCCUUUGACUAAAUUUUGACCGCCCACUUGGCAAUGUUUGAAUGACAUGUCACACAUGCACAGUGGCAGACCUAGUUGUAUGCCUGGGUGGGACCCACCCUUAUACACACACUUUAUAUUUAUUUCAAUAUAUAUAUAUAUAUGAUAAUUUG